GUGAGUGACCUGCCUUUUAGACUGGAACAACUUACCGAAAGGUGAGCUAAUGCCGGAUGAGUUAUAUAAGUGCAUGUUUAUAUAGGAAAAGUUGGGGAGACCUGACGCUGAAAGAUGGACUCGCGUCCCAUUAGCUAGUUGGUAGGGUAAUGGCCUACCAAGGCGACGAUGGGUAGCCGGCCUGAGAGGGUGGCCGGCCACACUGGGACUGAGACACGGCCCAGACUCCUACGGGAGGCAGCAGUGGGGAAUUUUGCGCAAUGCUCGUAAGAGUGACGCAGCGACGCCGCGUGAAUGACGAAGGCCUUCGGGUCGUAAAGUUCUUUCGACAGGGAAGAAAAUGCCUAUAAGUAACUGUGUAUGUAUUGACGGUACCUGUAUAAGCAGCCCCGGCUAACUCCGUGCCAGCAGCCGCGGUAAUACGGAGGGGGCGAGCGUUGUUCGGAGUGACUGGGCGUAAAGAGCACGUAGGCGGUGUUGUAAGUCAUUAGUCAAAGACUAGAGCUCAACUUUAGUAAGGCUAGUGAUACUAUAAUACUAGAGUAUCAGAGAGGAUUGCAGAAUUCCUGGUGUAGCGGUGAAAUGCGUAGAUAUCAGGAGGAAUACCGUUAGCGAAGGCGGCAAUCUGGCUGGAAACUGACGCUGAAGUGCGAAAGCGUGGGUAGCAAACAGGAUUAGAUACCCUGGUAGUCCACGCUGUAAACGAUGGAUGCUAGGUGUUGGGCUU
RNAcentral lists this ribosomal RNA (727 nucleotides) under uncultured bacterium. RNAcentral describes it as "bacterial SSU rRNA". It matches the Rfam family "Bacterial small subunit ribosomal RNA", at positions 117 to 830 of the family's 1533-position model. The record is from RNAcentral.